UUGACGCGCAUGAAUGGAUUAACGAGAUUCCUACUGUCCCUAACUACUAUCUAGCGAAACUACAGCCAAGGGAUCCGACGCUUGGCAGACAGCAGCGGGGAAAGAAGACCCUGUUGAGCUUGACUCUAGCUUGAUUUUGUGAAGAAUCAUGAGAGGUGUAGAAUAGGUGGGAGGCUCUGCCGUCCGUGAAAUACCACCACUCUCAUCGAUUCUUUACUCAUUCGAUUGUACGCGAGUGGGCUCUGCCCAACUUGUUGUGUUAAGUGCAGCUAUUUGAUAGCGGCACGACGUGUGUCGAUGACAGUAUCAGGCGGGGAGUUUGACUGGGGCGGUACAUCUGUCAAAUCGUAACGCAGGUGUCCUAAGGCUAGCUCAGUAAGGACGGAAACCUUACGUAGAGCAAAAGGGCAAAAGCUCGCUUGAUCUUGACUUUCAGUAUUAGUACAGACCGCGAAAGCGUGGCCUAUCGAUCCUUUUAAUCCAGAUUGUUUCUGGUAAGAGGUGUCAGAAAAGUUGCCACAGGGAUACCUGGCUUGUGGCAGCCAAGCGUCCAUAGCGACGUUGCUUUGUGAUCCUU
Molecule: ribosomal RNA, 577 nt
Filed under: Sinorchestia nipponensis
Lineage: Eukaryota; Metazoa; Arthropoda; Malacostraca; Amphipoda; Talitridae
Description: eukaryotic LSU rRNA
Rfam family: Eukaryotic large subunit ribosomal RNA
Source: RNAcentral